Molecule: transfer RNA, 73 nt
Filed under: Ailuropoda melanoleuca (giant panda)
Lineage: Eukaryota; Metazoa; Chordata; Mammalia; Carnivora; Ursidae
Rfam family: tRNA
About the family: Transfer RNA (tRNA) molecules are approximately 80 nucleotides in length.
Source: Rfam by way of RNAcentral
GCCCAGCUGGCUCAGCCGGUGGAGCGUUUGACUAUUGAUCUUGGGGUUGUGAGUUCGAGCCCCAUGUUGGGUG